Molecule: ribosomal RNA, 492 nt
Filed under: uncultured bacterium
Lineage: Bacteria
Description: partial 16S ribosomal RNA
Rfam family: Bacterial small subunit ribosomal RNA
Source: RNAcentral
AGUGAACGCUGGCGGUAGGCCUAACAUAUGCAAGUCGAACGGCAGCACAGUAAGAGCUUGCUCUUACGGGUGGCGAGUGGCGGACGGGUGAGGAAUACAUCGGAAUCUACUUUUUCGUGGGGGAUAACGUAGGGAAACUUACGCUAAUACCGCAUACGACCUACGGGUGAAAGCAGGGGAUCUUCGGACCUUGCGCGAUUGAAUGAGCCGAUGUCGGAUUAGCUAGUUGGCGGGGUAAAGGCCCACCAAGGCGACGAUCCGUAGCUGGUCUGAGAGGAUGAUCAGCCACACUGGAACUGAGACACGGUCCAGACUCCUACGGGAGGCAGCAGUGGGGAAUAUUGGACAAUGGGCGCAAGCCUGAUCCAGCCAUACCGCGUGGGUGAAGAAGGCCUUCGGGUUGUAAAGCCCUUUUGUUGGGAAAGAAAAGCAGCAGGUUAAUACCCCGCUGUUCUGACGGUACCCAAAGAAUAAGCACCGGCUAACUUCGUG